Phyllostomus discolor (pale spear-nosed bat) is the source of this 693-nucleotide long non-coding RNA. RefSeq lists it as uncharacterized. The record is from RefSeq and is a predicted model, not a curated record. NCBI's taxonomy places the organism in Eukaryota, Metazoa, Chordata, Mammalia, Chiroptera, Phyllostomidae. The transcript is spliced from 2 exons.
AAGUUGAAAUUAAAAACAAAGACUUCUUUCCCUAUUGAAUGGUUCUGGCACCCUUGUCAAAAACCAUUUGAUCAUGUAUAUAGGAGUUUAUUUCUGGGCUCUAUUCUGUUCCAUUGAUCCAUAUGUCUGUCUGUAUGCCAGCACCGCAGUUUUGAUUACUAUAGCUUUUUAUUAAGUUUUGAAAUCAGAAAGUAUGUGACCUUGAACUUUGUUCUUCUUUUUGAAGACUGUUUUGGUCAUUCAGUGUCCUUCUCAAAGGACAUUAUAUAUGAUUUUUAGGAUAGAUUUUUCUGUUUCUGCAAGGAAACAUUAUUGGGAUUUCGAUAGGGAUAGCAUUGAAUCCAUAGAUUGCUCUGAGUAGUAUUGACAUCUUAAUAGUAAGUGUUCCAGUCUGUAAACGAGAUAUCUUUCCAUUUAUUUAUGGUUUCAAUUUGUCUCAGCAACAUUUGCAGUUUUUAAUUGUAUAAUUCUUUCAUCUCUUUGAUUAAAGGUUAUUCCUAAGUAUUUCAUUCUUUUGGAUGCUAUUAUAAAUAGAAGUUGUUUUCUUAAUUUUAUUUUCAGGUUGUUCAUUGUGAGUCUAUAGGAACACCACUGAUUUUUACGUGUUGACUUUGUAUCCUGCAACUUUGCUGAAAGUUUUCAUUUCUUAAUUGUGGUUUAUGAAGCCCUAGCUGAGGUAGACAUUAGAAACUC